AUUGAACGCUGGCGGCAUGCCUUACACAUGCAAGUCGAACGGCAGCACGGGUGCUUGCACCUGGUGGCGAGUGGCGAACGGGUGAGUAAUACAUCGGAACGUACCUUACCGUGGGGGAUAACGCAGCGAAAGCUGUGCUAAUACCGCAUACGCCCUGAGGGGGAAAGCGGGGGAUCGCAAGACCUCGCGCGAUUAGAGCGGCCGAUGCCUGAUUAGCUUGUUGGUGGGGUAAAAGCCCACCAAGGCGACGAUCAGUAGCUGGUCUGAGAGGACUAGCAGCCACACUGGGACUGAGACACGGCCCAGACUCCUACGGGAGGCAGCAGUGAGGAAUUUUGGACAAUGGGGGCAACCCUGAUCCAGCAAUGCCGCGUGAGUGAAGAAGGCCUUCGGGUUGUAAAGCUCUUUUGUCAGGGAAGAAACACCGGCUCUAACACAGUCUGGGAAUGACGGUACCUGAAGAAUAAGCACCGGCUAACUACGUGCCAGCCGCCGCCGUAA
This 501-nucleotide ribosomal RNA is filed under the name uncultured bacterium. RNAcentral's name for it is "partial 16S ribosomal RNA". It matches the Rfam family "Bacterial small subunit ribosomal RNA", at positions 30 to 523 of the family's 1533-position model. The record is from RNAcentral.